CGGCGUUUGCACAGGGAGCAGAUUGAGUGGGAUCAGCGGGAUAUCGACCCCGGCGCAGGGGAGAUACAUGGCAUACACGGAAUAUUCAGGACACACGGAAUAUUGGGGAUCCGCGCUGGAUCCGCACGUGCAAUUCCCGUGGCGUGGCUCUCCGUGCACAAGAGGCCAUCCGUGCAUCCCGACGCCAUCUGGGGCGCCAAUUACCGGGAGCACGCACGGAAUCGAGGGAAUAACCAGCUUUUUCUCCUGAAGUAUCCACUAAAAAUGGCCCUGGAUACACAAGGAGGACGUGUCUGAUGGAUCAUUGCUGCACUGAGAGGAGCCGUGGG
This 329-nucleotide long non-coding RNA is filed under the name Zonotrichia albicollis (white-throated sparrow). RNAcentral describes it as "lncRNA (ENSZALG00000009380.1)". The record is from RNAcentral. Lineage: Eukaryota; Metazoa; Chordata; Aves; Passeriformes; Passerellidae.